RNAcentral lists this ribosomal RNA (328 nucleotides) under uncultured Streptococcus sp. RNAcentral describes it as "bacterial SSU rRNA". It matches the Rfam family "Bacterial small subunit ribosomal RNA", at positions 1051 to 1382 of the family's 1533-position model. The record is from RNAcentral. Lineage: Bacteria; Bacillati; Bacillota; Bacilli; Lactobacillales; Streptococcaceae.
GUCGUCAGCUCGUGUCGUGAGAUGUUGGUUAAGUCCGCAACGAGCGCAACCCCUAUUGUUAGUUGCCAUCAUUCAGUUGGGCACUCUAGCGAGACUGCCGGUAAUAAACCGGAGGAAGGUGGGGAUGACGUCAAAUCAUCAUGCCCCUUAUGACCUGGGCUACACACGUGCUACAAUGGUUGGUACAACGAGUUGCGAGUCGGUGACGGCGAGCUAAUCUCUUAAAGCCAAUCUCAGUUCGGAUUGUAGGCUGCAACUCGCCUACAUGAAGUCGGAAUCGCUAGUAAUCGCGGAUCAGCACGCCGCGGUGAAUACGUUCCCGGGCCUU